GGCCCCGUCGUCUAGCGGCCAAGGACAUCGCCCUCUCAAGGCGAAGACACGGAUUCGAAUUCCGUCGGGGCCACCA
Molecule: transfer RNA, 76 nt
Filed under: Bacillota bacterium
Lineage: Bacteria; Bacillati; Bacillota
Description: Firmicutes bacterium (anaerobic digester metagenome) tRNA-Glu
Rfam family: tRNA
About the family: Transfer RNA (tRNA) molecules are approximately 80 nucleotides in length.
Source: RNAcentral